This 807-nucleotide ribosomal RNA is filed under the name uncultured fungus. RNAcentral describes it as "eukaryotic LSU rRNA". It matches the Rfam family "Eukaryotic large subunit ribosomal RNA", at positions 24 to 664 of the family's 3401-position model. The record is from RNAcentral. Lineage: Eukaryota; Fungi.
CCCGCUGAACUUAAGCAUAUUAUUAAGCGGAGGAAAAGAAACUAACAAGGAUUCCCCUAGUAACGGCGAGUGAAGCGGGAAUAGCUCAAUUUUAAAAUCUCCGUGUCUUACACGGCGAAUUGUAAUCUAGAGAAGCAUUUUCUAGAUCAACUCUUGGUAUAAAUCCUUUGGAAAAGGGUAUCAUAGAGGGUGACAAUCCCGUCUUUGACUAAGAGCUUGAUCUUUUACGAUAUGCUUUCAACGAGUCGGGUUGUUUGGGAAUGCAGCCCAAAAUGGGUGGUAAAUUUCAUCUAAAGCUAAAUAUGGGCAUGAGACCGAUAGCGAAACAGUACCGUGAGGGAAAGAUGAAAAGAACUUUGAAAAGAGAGUUAAAAGUACGUGAAACCGCUAAAAAGGGAACGAUUUGGAACUAGCAAUUGAGCUUAAUNNAAUCAGAUAAGUGAAAUUACUAGUUAAUUUAGUAUGGAGUUUCUUUAGUGAGACCAAUAGUUUAUUAACAAAAAUAGUUCAAUUAUUGCACUUUAUUAAAGUUUCAGGUCAACAUCAGUNUGAGAUAUGGGAAAAGAUGAUUAGAGGAGGUAGCUAAUUUGACUUGUCAUUUUAGUGUUAUAUCUUUAGUCAUUUACCAUAUAUCGGACUGAGGUCGCUAAAAAGUGUGCCUUUUGGCUAAGUCCUUUUAUAAUCCUUAUUACAAGAUUUUUGACUGUUUCCAGUGUUUAAUCUUGGCAAGAAGGAUUAUGAAAAAGAUCUAUAUACACUUUAAAGAUGUUGACGAAAUGGUUCUAACCGACCCGUCUUGAAACACGG